UUCAUUUAUUUUUAGUUAGUUUAAUUAAUUGAGAAUGAUACAAGAGUAAUUGCACUCACUCCCUGUACAAAACAAACUAAGUGCAUAUUUGCACAGGAAGGAAAGCACAUUUUUUCGCUGAUGUGUAUUUUUUUAAUUACACUGCUACUCUUGUAUAAAACUCUUAUCUAUAAUAAAACUUUUACCUAUAGCCUCGUCAACUUUGCAAAGCUCUUUUCGAUGUUUAUUCUUUCUUUUUGUUCACUUCGCCUCUCUCUCUCUAGUCUCUACAAAUUCACAGCAAAAAUGAAAGCUUCGAUUUUGUAUCCAUUUUUGAAAAAAAAAAAAAAGCUUCGUAGUUAUCUGUUUGAGCUCAUCCGUUUUUUUUCCUCGAGGAUCUCAUUUUCCGGUUUCAGACAAAGACAAAAGCUUAAAGCUUCUUUCCGUAUUGUCUUCUGGGUUGAAUAACAAAGCCAGGAAGAAAGGAUCAUCUCCCCAACUGACUCCUCCUCCGCUGAUCACUUGCACACCAUUUUUUUGUUUUAUUUCUCAGGGGAAUUUUGUAUGUAUAUCUGGCUAAACAACCAUUUUAAUCAUAUGUAUUGCGAUUUGUUAAAGAUUUAAUUCUAUGUUUAGCUGGACAUCUAUAUCUAAUCAUAUGUUUUGUGAUUUAUUAGAGAGUUAAUUUUUUAUUUAUCCGAAUUGAUAAAAAAUAACCACCACCAAUUGAUAUAAUAACCGGUAAAUAUAAAUUAAAUACCAGUUAACAUGAAAAAUAUAUAGCUAAAUCAGAAUAUAACAAUGCUAAUUUAAAAAUGAUCCAUAUAAGUGAGAUUAUAUCCAGCUAACUUACAUAUUAACUAUAUAUCCAGCUAAUUUUAAAUUGAUCCAUAUAUGUGAAAUUAUAUCCAGCUAACUUGCAUAUUACAUAUAUAUGAGUAAGUGUGUUUGAUGAAAGGGGCAAAUGGUAAAAUACUCCCGACAAAAGCUACUGACAACCAUGUUUUUUUGUGCUUUUACUCCAUCCUUGCAAAUUUAUUACUUAUUGUGUAAUUUUGUUGCAAAUCGCUCAUGAUACAAUCUAUUACACCAAAAAAAAGAGCAAUUGCAUUGAAUAUACAUGGAUGUAGACAUAACUAGUUUUCUAACGCUGGCCACUAUUUAUACACUGCUCACUUUCAUUUAUUCCAAUUUUGACCCUAUCUAGCUUUUAUUAUUUCUGUUAGAAAUAGGGUAUACGUAAAAAAAAACUGAUAAUGAAGGGCUUAUGCGUUAUUUGUCCCAGCUGCAUAUAUAUAUCGACUAAUUAUGUAAAGUAUUACACGUUUUUGCAACUGUGAGAUGUUUCAUGUAUAUUUAUCUAAAUGACUCAAAAAAAUCCAUCUUAUAUACUUCGGUUGUCAUUUUUUGCUUUGUGUGGUUGGUGGUUCACUAGUCUUGCCACCCUUGUACUAUUUUCUGUUUUGCCUUUUAUGCUUUGUUUUCUUCUUUAACACUAGUGAAAUCAACUACAUCAUUAUAUAAUGUAUAUAUCUAUUUAUUGAUGAUUAAAGUACCUACAACAAAAAACAAUAUGAUGAACACAUUCACAUACAAUGAUUCUACAAUGUAGUUCUCUCUGUAACACAUAGAUCGGUGAACGUUUAUGUAUCUACGAUAUUCAACUUCCGAUAAGCCUUGCAUUCUAAAAUCUGCAAAAAAAUUACAUCUUCUGGCAAUCGAAUCCCAAACCUAGUGUCUAAGCCUUUUUAAAUCUUGAUCACUAAGCCAUUGUACUUCCAUAGUGCUUUUUUCCUUUCUUUGUCAUUUUUCUUGUUCGAAUUUCUCCGGAUUUUUACCGAUUAUCUUAUGAAUCUCUCUGAACUUAUAGAGGUCCAUGGCUUCUCAAGAGGGAGAGCUUUUAAAGGUGGUAGUGCUUUUAAUGUUGUCGUGGUGUUGUUUGCAUUCCGCUGUUGCUAGGAUUCUACUAAGAUCUGAGCCGAAAGUUUCUGAUGGAUGGUUGUUAGCAAUAUAUAUCUCUUUGGUUCCUCUUGCUCAACGCGGUUCUCUCUUAGUUCUUCACCUUUAAUUGCAUGCAAGUAUAUGAAUUUUCUUCGGUUUAAUUUUGUGUUUGUGGGUUGGUUAGUUUCUUUGUUCAGGUGUUGUUCUUGGGUUUGAUUUGUUUUUGCUGGUCUGGGAUAGCUUCGGUUUAGUUGCUUGUUUGGGUUUGGUUUUCGUCGAUUAGCUUCUUUUUAGUUUGGUUAAUCUUUGUGUUGCCUAUUCUACCGUCCCUAGAGUAGUUAAAUAAAUAGUUCUCAUCUUUGGUCUUUCUUAGACUAUUCUUGGAAGGCUGGGCUUAUUUCGGGAUGCAUAGUUCAUAUUUUAUACCUUUUAAGUUGAAGAUUAGGUGGUUAAAUGGUUGAUUCUCGGUUAUGGUUUAUUGUUGGUUUAUAGGUCUCUUGUGUUUUGCUCGUGGUUCCUAGGGCAUCUCCGGUUCGAGUGUUAGUCCGCCAAGAAGCUUCUCUUGAGCUUUGCACUGCCGCGAAUACUGCUCGUUCUAUACUUAUGUGGAUAUUGUGCAUCUCUUUCUUACUUGGUUACAUUUGAUUGUAUCUUUUGUUUUAAUUAAGUUUUAGGUUGGCUUGGUAUUUUUUUUUUGCUUUCAGAGGAGUGUCUUUUACCAAUUUUUGUGUGUUUUCUUUAAAUUUUAGAGUUGUGGUUUUGGUAAAAUUCUCAGACUUAGGGUCUGACUGGUUUAAACGCAGCUGUUGCGGUUGCGGCUGCGGGCGUUUGCGGAUGCGGGUGGUUGCGGUUUCUAGCGGUUUUAAGAGAUUUGUACGAUUGGUUCUGCGGUUAGAAAUUGGUGCGUUUGCGGGAUACUUAUGACUGGUUAACUACCAAAUACAGCAGUGGUUAAAUAAUAAAUUAACAAUAUUUACAUUUUAUAUAAUUAUAAAAA
Brassica napus (rape) is the source of this 2917-nucleotide long non-coding RNA. RefSeq lists it as uncharacterized. Lineage: Eukaryota; Viridiplantae; Streptophyta; Magnoliopsida; Brassicales; Brassicaceae. The transcript is spliced from 2 exons. The record is from RefSeq and is a predicted model, not a curated record.